RNAcentral lists this ribosomal RNA (783 nucleotides) under uncultured bacterium. RNAcentral's name for it is "bacterial SSU rRNA". It matches the Rfam family "Bacterial small subunit ribosomal RNA", at positions 73 to 889 of the family's 1533-position model. The record is from RNAcentral.
AGUGGAGCAAUCCAUGAGUACAGUGGCGCACGGGUGAGUAACACGUGGAUAAUCUACCUCUUGGUGGGGAAUAACCCUGGGAAACUGGGGCUAAAACCGCAUAAGCCUGAAAAGGGAAAGGCGCAAGUCGCCGAGAGAGGAGUCCGCGGUCGAUUAGCUAGUUGGUGAGGUAAAGGCUCACCAAGGCUUCGAUCGAUAGCCGGCCUGAGAGGGCACACGGCCACACUGGCACUGAAACACGGGCCAGACUCCUACGGGAGGCAGCAGUGGGGAAUCUUGCACAAUGGGGGAAACCCUGAUGCAGCGACGCCGCGUGAGCGAUGAAGCCCUUCGGGGUGUAAAGCUCUUUCGACAGGAACGAUAAUGACGGUACCUGGAGAAGAAGCUGCGGCUAACUACGUGCCAGCAGCCGCGGUAAUACGUAGGCAGCAAGCGUUGUUCGGAGUUACUGGGCGUAAAGAGUAUGUAGGCGGUUAUCUAAGUCUGGCGUGAAAUCUCCCGGCUCAACUGGGAGGCUGCGUUAGAUACUGGAUAGCUUGAGCGUGGGAGGGGAAAGCGGAAUUUCUGGUGUAGCGGUGAAAUGCGUAGAUAUCAGAAGGAACACCUGCGGUGAAGACAGCUUUCUGGACCACAGCUGACGCUGAGAUACGAAAGCGUGGGUAGCAAACAGGAUUAGAUACCCUGGUAGUCCACGCCCUAAACGAUGCACACUUGGUGUGAGCCAUUCAUUUGGUUUGUGCCGGAGCUAACGCGUUAAGUGUGCCGCCUGGGGAGUACGGUCGC